RNAcentral lists this ribosomal RNA (292 nucleotides) under uncultured bacterium. RNAcentral describes it as "partial 16S ribosomal RNA". It matches the Rfam family "Bacterial small subunit ribosomal RNA", at positions 505 to 796 of the family's 1533-position model. The record is from RNAcentral.
GUGCCAGCAGCCGCGGUAAGACAGAGGUGCCAAGCGUUAGGCGGAAUCACUGGGCUUAAAGCGUGUGUAGGCGGAUCGUUAAGUACCUUGUGAAAUCCCACGGCUUAACCGUGGAACUGCUCGGUAUACUGGCGGUCUUGAGCAACCCAGGGGCGAGCGGAACAAAUGGUGGAGCGGUGAAAUGCGUAGAUAUCGUCAGGAACGCCGGUGGUGAAGACGGGUGACUUGGCCGGUUCUGACACUGAGGCACGAAAGCUAGGGGAGCAAACAGGAUUAGAUACCCUUGUAGUCC